CGUAGUUUGAUCAGUGGCUCAAGAACGAACGCUGGCGGCAUGCUUAACACAUGCAAGUCGAACGAGACCUUCGGGUCUAGUGGCGCACGGGUGCGUAACGCGUGGGAAUCUGCCCUUAGGUACGGAAUAACUCAGAGAAAUUUGUGCUAAUACCGUAUGAUGUCGAAAGACCAAAGAUUUAUCGGGGAUGGAUGAGCCCGCGUUGGAUUAGCUAGUUGGUGGGGUAAAGGCCUACCAAGGCGACGAUCCAUAGCUGGUCUGAGAGGAUGAUCAGCCACAUUGGGACUGAGACACGGCCCAAACUCCUACGGGAGGCAGCAGUGGGGAAUAUUGGACAAUGGGCGCAAGCCUGAUCCAGCCAUGCCGCGUGAGUGAUGAAGGCCCUAGGGUUGUAAAGCUCUUUCACCGGUGAAGAUAAUGACGGUAACCGGAGAAGAAGCCCCGGCUAACUUCGUG
Molecule: ribosomal RNA, 456 nt
Filed under: uncultured bacterium
Lineage: Bacteria
Description: bacterial SSU rRNA
Rfam family: Bacterial small subunit ribosomal RNA
Source: RNAcentral